GAUGAACGCUGGCGGCGUGCCUAAUACAUGCAAGUCGAGCGAACGGACGAGAAGCUUGCUUCUCUGAUGUUAGCGGCGGACGGGUGAGUAACACGUGGAUAACCUACCUAUAAGACUGGGAUAACUUCGGGAAACCGGAGCUAAUACCGGAUAAUAUUUUGAACCGCAUGGUUCAAAAGUGAAAGGCGGUCUUGCUGUCACUUAUAGAUGGAUCCGCGCUGCACUAGCUAGUUGGUAAGGUAACGGCUUACCAAGGCAACGAUGCAUAGCCGACCUGAGAGGGUGAUCGGCCACACUGGAACUGAGACACGGUCCAGACUCCUACGGGAGGCAGCAGUAGGGAAUCUUCCGCAAUGGGCGAAAGCCUGACGGAGCAACGCCGCGUGAGUGAUGAAGGUCUUCGGAUCGUAAAACUCUGUUAUUAGGGAAGAACAUAUGUGUAAGUAACUGUGCACAUCUUGACGGUACCUAAUCAGAAAGCCACGGCUAACUACGUG
This 497-nucleotide ribosomal RNA is filed under the name uncultured bacterium. RNAcentral's name for it is "partial 16S ribosomal RNA". It matches the Rfam family "Bacterial small subunit ribosomal RNA", at positions 28 to 507 of the family's 1533-position model. The record is from RNAcentral.